UUGCCCCUACGGGGGGCAGCAGUGGGGGAUAUUGCACAAUGGGGGGAACCCUGAUGCAGCGACGCCGCGUGGGUGAAGAAGCGCCCCGGCGCGUAAAGCCUUGUCAGCAGGGAAGAAGAAGGACGGUACCUGACCAAGAAGCCCCGGCUAACUACGUGCCAGCAGCCGCGGUAAUACGUAGGGGGCAAGCGUUAUCCGGAUUUACUGGGUGUAAAGGGGGCGCAGACGGCG
RNAcentral lists this ribosomal RNA (231 nucleotides) under uncultured bacterium. RNAcentral's name for it is "partial 16S ribosomal RNA". It matches the Rfam family "Bacterial small subunit ribosomal RNA", at positions 333 to 580 of the family's 1533-position model. The record is from RNAcentral.